GUAGGGAAUAUUGCGCAAUGGACGAAAGUCUGACGCAGCCACGCCGCGUGAGUGAGGAAGGCCUUCGGGUUGUAAAGCUCUGUCAUCCGGGAAAAACGGCUAUUGGGGGAAAGUUCCAGUAGCGUGAUGGUACCGGAGGAGGAAGCACCGGCAAACUCUGUGCCAGCAGCCGCGGUAAUACAGAGGGUGCAAGCGUUGUUCGGAAUUACUGGGCGUAAAGCGUGCGUAGUCGGUAUUGAGAGUCGCGGGUGAAAUCCCAGGGCUUAACCCUGGAACUGCCUGCGAGACCUCAGUACUAGAGUGUGAGAGGGGAUAUUGGAAUACCCAGUGUAGCGGUGAAAUGCGUAGAGAUUGGGUGGAACACCGGUGGCGAAGGCGGAUAUCUGGCUCACAACUGACGAUCAGGCACGAAAGCGUGGGGAGCAAACAGGAUUAGAAACCCCUGUAGUCC
RNAcentral lists this ribosomal RNA (451 nucleotides) under uncultured bacterium. RNAcentral describes it as "bacterial SSU rRNA". It matches the Rfam family "Bacterial small subunit ribosomal RNA", at positions 354 to 796 of the family's 1533-position model. The record is from RNAcentral.